RNAcentral lists this long non-coding RNA (730 nucleotides) under Medicago truncatula (barrel medic). RNAcentral describes it as "long non-coding RNA (MTRU_LNC006854)". Lineage: Eukaryota; Viridiplantae; Streptophyta; Magnoliopsida; Fabales; Fabaceae. The record is from RNAcentral.
AUAAUAGUCCAAUUUUCCAUAAUAUGGUUAUACCAAAAUAAUGGUUAAAGACAUUUUUCAUGCUUGGUCUAACCCUUAUGAGAUUCGAUGACCCGACUCCCCUAAAAUUUCGUUCACAAAAAAGAUAAUACUUUUAUUUAAUUGCAGUUAUAAAUAAAAAGAGGGCGAGAAAUCAAAUCUACCCAUUUAUCGUAUUUCUCAUCUACGGCGAAUCAUCCUCGAGCACUUUACCUUCAAAACCCUAGAUCUCUAAAAUCUUUCAUAAUCUCUUUCUUCCUCCAUUCCACCCUCAAAUAUCUUGCGCAGUCCAUCGAAAAAUUCUAAGAUUGCAAAGAUAUCAUAAAUCUCAACAUUUUUACCAAUUGUUUCUCCACUCUUUCUCUUUUCUGGACCUUUCUCUUCCCCUUUUCCUCUAAUCCAAGAUCUUUUCAUUUAUCUAAGUCCUUUGGCAUACAACUAUUUGAAUCAUCUCUUUAUUUUGUUUCAUUUUCUCCGAUCCAGAUCUUAGAGAAAUUUGAAAUCGUAUCUCACCUUAUCAAAUGAACGAGAGGGAUAGGUAAAUAUGAUUUUUUUCACAUGCCUGAAUAUAUCAUGUCUUUUACUAUUUAUUGAAACUAAUUUUUUUUUUUGUCAGGUUUCAUCUCUGCUAUAUAUUAUCUGGACACUGAGAUAAGUCUAAGCAAAGAUCAACCUCUCCUAAAAAAAAAGGUAGGAAAACUCUUGUACAGUU